RNAcentral lists this ribosomal RNA (279 nucleotides) under uncultured bacterium. Its description in RNAcentral is "partial 16S ribosomal RNA". It matches the Rfam family "Bacterial small subunit ribosomal RNA", at positions 338 to 614 of the family's 1533-position model. The record is from RNAcentral.
CCUACGGGGCGCAGCAGUGAGGAAUAUUGGUCAAUGGGCGCGAGCCUGAACCAGCCAAGUAGCGUGCAGGAUGACGGCCCUAUGGGUUGUAAACUUCUUUUAUGAGGGGAUAAAGUGAGGUACGUGUAGUUUAUUGCAGGUACCAUAUGAAUAAGGACCGGCUAAUUCCGUGCCAGCAGCCGCGGUAAUACGGAAGGUCCAGGCGUUAUCCGGAUUUAUUGGGUUUAAAGGGAGCGUAGGCCGUGGAUUAAGCGUGUUGUGAAAUGUAGCGGCUCAACG